This 34865-nucleotide long non-coding RNA is filed under the name Nicotiana tabacum (common tobacco). RNAcentral describes it as "long non-coding RNA (NTAB_LNC001926)". The record is from RNAcentral. Lineage: Eukaryota; Viridiplantae; Streptophyta; Magnoliopsida; Solanales; Solanaceae.
UUUUUUCAUUAAGUAAAUUGUAUUCAUUUUAAUUUCGUUAUCUUUUUGACUUUUGCUGAAGAAGAGUUUCUUUAAUAGUGUACUGCAAGUCAUAUAAAGCAUAGUAUAGUAGCAUUCUUCAAUUACCAAAUGAGAGAAGCAAGUAAACUUGCCUCCCCGACUUGACUUGAUGUGUUCUGGUUAUUAAGUUCCCACAUCUUUUUCUCAUUCUCUUUACUGGUUUGGCUGCAUGCGCAUUACUCGUGGUAUGCCAUCAAUCAUGAAUUAGAUUUAUGAACAUUUUACCUGGAAAUAUGUUAAUUGAAACUAUUCUUUUGUUCUUAAACAAUUUAUAGAAAUUCUUUUUUUAUAUUUCUAAUGUUUGGUAUUUAUCAACAAGAGGUUUAUCGUUUCAUAUUAUAAACACUACUAGAAAUCUACCAAAAUCCGUCGAAACCAUACCGACCGAAAUCGGUCGAAAAAUAUCUAGAUUGGUCGCAAGAGUAAAAUAAAUUUUUUUACUAAAAAGUACCGACCACUUUCAGUUGGAAAAGUGGUCCCACAAUAAAGAAACAAUGCUUUGUCCGACAAAUAUAAAAAUUUCGACCGAUAUCGGUCGAAAAUUGGUCAAUCUUUGAUCAAGACCUGGACAAACUUGCAUAUUAUUUAUCAAAAAAGAGUUUAAUUAAAAAANNNNNNNNNNNNNNNNNNNNNNNNNUAUAUAUAUAUAUAUAUAUAUAUAUAUAUAUAGAUUGUAAAUAUAUAUAUAUAUAUUAUAUAUAUAUAAAUUAUAUAUAAUACACACACAUAAUAUAAUUUAUAUUAUUAAAUAUAUAUAUAGAUUGUAAAUAAUAAUAAUUUAAUUUUUGACCACUAAAACCGACCGAAAUCAGUCGGUAUAUUUAUAAUAAUUUUGAAAACUUAUUUUUGUUAUGGGAAAAAAAUAAUUGAGCCUGAGCGGGAAAAAUUUAAUCAAAGUUUCUGACCGAAUUCGAUCGGUAUACUUGAGGUCAAACAGUCAAAAGUUAUUUUAUUAUUACCGACCGACAUUUCCGACCGAAGUCGGUCGGUAAUAUUCUAAUUAGACUAACAAACGAGUUUUCUUCCCCAUUUUCAUCUCCCCCCCUCUCUUCCAUCUCUCUUUCUCACACCUUUUUACCCAAAUCCCACCCAAAAUCAAGUCCCCCACCCCCAAAAUCGAAGCCCCACUAGUGUUUCUCCGCCCGCCGCUUUCCACUGCCGCCCGCCGCCUCCACCACUAUCACUCCCCUCCCGCCGCCACCACUGUCAUUCUCUUUCAAGAUUAGUGUUCUACCUUAUUAGCCUUUUAAUUUUUAAUUUAUUGUAUGCCUAAUAUAAUUUCAUGCAUUUUUAGGUGUUUUGUCUAUUUUGAAUUUAUGUGACUAAAUAGGGGUUUUGUACUACAUUAUAAUUAAAGUGAAAUACACUGUAACUAAAAUUGAUUAUGCACUAAUAGAGGUGUAUAAAUUAUUUAAACUAGUUAAUUUGUGGUGUAUAAAUUAUAUAAACUAGGGUUUAGUGCUCUUAAUUUAUGAAGUUGGAUGCUUUUAAUUUUAUUUAUUGCUUUUAGAAAUAAUUUAUUCUUUUAGGGUUUAAUUAAUUAUUUUGCUUUUAGAAAUUUAGGGUUUAUUAAUUUAGGGGAUAAUAUUGUUCUAUUAGUGUUUAUUGCUUUUAGAAAAUUAGGCUUAAUUAAUUAUGCUAUAUUAAUUGAAUGUGUUAACAAAUUAUAAUUGAAUGAGUGGGUUACAAAUCUAAAGAUGCCCGAGGGCUAUGCUUCGAACUUGGAAAAACGUGCCGAUAUGGUUGAAGGAAAGCUGACUCAUAUGAAAAGUCAUGAUUGUCAUAUCUUCAUGGAAAUCUUAAUCCCUAUUGCAUUUUGUGGUUUUCCUGAAAAUAUCUCGAAACCCAUCACAAAGAUAAGUUUGUUCUUCGAAGACUUAUGUUCUACCACAUUAAGGGAAGAAAACCUAUUUGAAAUGAAGCAGAACAUUCUUGUAAUCAGUAAUAAGCUGGAAAAGAUUUUUCCAUGUGGUUUCUUUGAUGUGAUGGAACACCUUCCAAUUCACCUUGUACACGAGGCGCGACUUGGAGGGCCAGUUCAAUGCAGGUGGAUGUAUCCAUUCGAGAGGUAAUGAUCAAACCUUGAUUCAUUCUUGUAAUUUUUUUAAACAUUAUCGUCUAAUAUGACAAUGCGCAGGACUAUCGACAAGUGUAAACGAUUUGUUAAACAGAGGAAUAUGAUUGAAGAAUUCAUAUGCGAAGCCUAUCUUGCAAAGAAAACUACCCAUUUUUGUUCUUACUACUUCGACAGUCAUGUGCCAUGUGCUAAAAAUAGGCCCAAUCGGCACAUGUCGUAAUUGAAAAUGAUCCAUUAUAUCCACCAAUAUCCAUAUUCAAUUAACCAGGCCGAGGUUCUAAAGAUCAAUAAAAAAAGGGCCUAAGUAGUGUGGAGUACAAAUCAACUUCAAAUCAUGUGUUGCUAAAUUGUCUGGAAGUUCAACCCUUUCUUAAGUAAGUGUUGACAUAAGAUUAAUGUACAUGGACUACUAUUUAAUUCAGUUGAUGAAACUAACAAAAUUUUCAAUGUGUCGCUCAGUGAUUUCCUGAGUUAAUUUAGCCAUGAUGCUGUAUAUUCUACAUUUAAGGCAUGAUUUAAACAGUGUUUAAGUGCAUGUUACAUACUUUCUCAUAUGUGAAUAUACAUACUUGGUCACUUGUAAAUAUACUUGCUCACUUGUAAUUUAUUUAACACUACAUGUAGGUCAAUAAUCCAAACAAUGGUGUUAAUCAAUUUUUGAAAGAUAUAUCUUGGGGAUCUGCACCUACGGUUACAACUAUGUCUAAGUAUUUUGUGAAUGGUUAUAAAUUUUACACCGAGGAAUGCUCCAAGUAUAAAAAAAGUAAUAACAGUAGGGCGUGUGUCAAAGGUGGUGAAGGCAACCAGGAUAGGGAAAAUGAUUAUUAUGGUGUGAUCAAAGAGAUUCUAAAAUUAUCAUAUUCAGGUUGGCCAAAUAAGAAGAUCAUACUUUUUCGAUGCAAGUGGUUUGACCCAACACCUAGAAGAGGUACAAAUAUAGACUCACAGUACAACAUAAUUGAGGUUAAUAAAAAGAGGGAGUAUGAUCGCUAUGAUCCUUUUAUAAUUGCAGAAAAAGUUAGGCAAGUAUAUUAUACUCCAUAUCCAUUGCGUAGGGAUAAGGCUGAUUGAUUGGUUAUAAUCAAAACUAAGUCUGCUGGUAGGGUGGAAGUUAAGAAUGUGCUAGAUGUUGCUUACCAAAAUGAUACCUCAAGUGUUAACCAAAUGGUGGAUGAUCAGUUAGAAAAUGACUUGGAGCAUCUUCAAUGCAUAUUAGAAGAAGUUGAUAUGGAGGAAAUAACAAUCAUAGAAAGUGAGGACGAAGAACCAGCUGAUGAAAAUGAAAUAAGUGAAGAGGAAGAAUUUUCGGACGAGAAAGGAUACUUCGAAGACGACUAGCAUGUUAGUUUUUUCAAGCGCUCUUAACUUAUAUAGAUUUAUAUUCUCAAUUCUAAUAUUUUCUUUAAUUUAUGCAGAUGACCGGUAGGGGUCGAGGUAGGUCUAGGAAGGAUAAUAGGCCUAUUGAUCAUGAGGAUGGUGCUACACCCUCACUUCCUUCCACUCCACACUUGCAUCCCUCCGCUGCUGAUGGCCGACAACAAUCUUCUAGGCACACAUAUUUUUCACAAGAUCCAUCUACUCAUCAAGCUACCUACCAUUCACCCUCCCAACAGUAUUCUUACCAUUAUCCACCACAGGGCUAUACCCCGCUUCCUCCACAAGAUCCUGCAUAUAGUUACAUGGGUCCAUCGAGUCAGCAGUCACAGGGCCAUGUAGUGAUACGACCGUCAUCUUCUCCAUUUUUUUCACCACCAGCUGGAUCGUAUCCAUUUAGAUUUCAGCUACCCAUAUCGCAAUAGUGGUCUGGAUCGCAACAGAGGUCUAGAUUGCAACAAGGGUCUAGAUUGCAUCCAUCUUCAUCAGUGACCUCGUCUCCCUCUCCACCGAGUUCGUCUCCUAGCAUUUCUAGACUUCGCCUUUGGUAUAGUAGCGCUGAGCCAGAUGCCUCCCCUUCUACGCACGCUUCAGAUUCAUCGGAGGAUGAUGAUCCAGAGGAAGUGUGAUAUGAUUGUUAUCAUAGGAUGAUCAUCAGGCCUGAGGGCAAUGGGUAAAAUUUAUUUAUUACUUAUUUAUUUUUGAUGAAUUAUAAUAGCUAGUCUUGUUUAUUUAAUGUAAUUGCUAUGUUGCAAGUUCAUAUCUAGUCAUCAGACUACAAAGAUAAUCAGUGAAACUCUUGGCAUGUUGUAUGAUGCACCACCCUAUGCGACUUGGAGUGAAUUUUCACCGGAGCUCAUAGAGAAAAUUUUCAACAAAUUUAAGGUUUUAAUACAAUUCUUAUCUAUUUAAGCAUUAUAUUAACAAUAUUUUCAUCUAACGUUACACACAUCAUUUGCAGACUAAGUGUGCCUGGGAGGACCGACAUAAUAGGUUCAUUCUUGAAAAUUUUGAGUUCAAAUGCCGUUAGAGACUAUCUGAUUCCUUCUGUUCUGCUCGGAAGAAGAGCAAGAAGCCUUCAUGGGUUCUACCGCACAUAUGGGAGGAUCUGCUGAGGCAGGGGAAUACUGAGAAAUUCGAGAAGCGGAGUGAACAUGAAAAGAAGGCCUGAGCAUCUGAGAAGGGUGGCUCCUUGCACUGUGUGGGUGCAAGGAGCAUGGGGACUGCGAGAAGACUACUGGUAAUUUCUUAAAAUAUUUAAUUAUAUUUUUAUCGAUCUAUAUUUAUAUAUUUUUAUUUAGUUAACAUGUUUUAUUAUAUUCGUAGGAAAAAAUUAUUGGAGGAAGAUGACUCAUGAUAAGUUCUUCAUGGAGAGUCACAUCCGGAAGAAGAAGGCACCGACAUAUCCAACUAUAUGGAUCAAGGACCGGGCGGAGACUACAUAUGUAAGUUUCAUAACUACUAUAACUUGAAAUUAAUGUUUAUAAUAUUAUAUAGUUAAUAAUUUUCUAUCUUCUAAAUAAAGGGUCGCUACAAGACUAAUGUGAAGGAGUACACUCAGAGCUUGCCACCGAAUGAGCAAGGCAAGCGACCACCCCUUUCAGACGAAGAAGCGCAGGAGAUAUGGUUGGAUGUCGUCAGUGCUCCUAAAAAGGGGAAAGCAUACGGCUUUUCAGAGAGAUCAUUUCGGCACUACAGGGCUGGAUUGCAAGGUAUAGGGACUUCCGCCCAGGGCGAGGCAAUUGAUAGGUCGACUUUUUCGUCUAUAGAGAAGAAGGUCGCAAAGCUGACAACAGAGCUUGAAGAGACAAAGGCUAGAGAACAAAAGAGAGAUAAACAAUUUGACACCUUUCAAGUUCAGCUAGAAAAGAUGGACCAACAAUUUAAUGUCCUUCAAGGUCAGUUGUCCAAUCUUCUUGCUAGCGGUGCUUUCCCUAUUCCCCGGUCUCAUGAGCCUUCCCUAGAUGUGUCUCCUUCUCGUCGUGAUCUUUCGAACCAUGCCGACGAUGAAGGUACUAGUAGUGGAGAUGGAGAUGAUGUAGUGCAAAACACUCAUUGAAUGAUGCUUGAACUUUUAACUUGUAAAAUAUUUUGUUGUUGGGUAUGAUGUUUUGUUAAUAUAGUUUAGUGGAGAUGGAGAUGAUGUUUUAUUAAUAUAGUUUUGAUAGUUGUUAUUGUUGUUAUUGUUGUUUUUAUUAUUGUUGUUAUUGGUUGAAUGACAAUAAUGUAAUGCUGCCAUUAUAGGUAAUUGGUUGUUGGCAGGUGGUGCAGCUAUAAGAUAGCUGUAUUCUGCCAAACACUUACCCAGAAAACCGAUCGCCUACCGACCGAAGUCGGUCGGAAAUGUUCAAUUGAUUUCCCAGAAAUUUAAAUUUACCGACCGACUUCGGUCAGAAUUUUUGAUUUUAAUUUUUAAAAAUAUUUUAAUAAUACUGACCAAUUUCGGUCGGAAUUGAACAAUUUUAAAAAAAUAAAUAAUUAAAAUUAUGACCAAAAUCGGUCUCUAAUUUUAAAAAUAAUUAAAAAUUAUUUUUAAGAAUACCGACCAAUUUCGGUCGGUAAGUUUAUUUUGUGUCAGGAUAUUUGGUCAAAGUGCGUUAAAAAUUACCGACCGACUUCGGUCGGAAAUAUUGACUGUCUGCGGUCGAUAGCCGUUAACAACCAUUAUUUUUUCUAUGAAUUGAAAAUGGUCGGAAAUCGGUCGAUUUUUAUUCGUUUCUGACCAUUUUUGGUGGGUUUUUUUGGACGCUUUUUGAUAGUUUUCUAGUAGUGAAAAAUGUUGGAGAUUGGUGAAUUAUUUAGUGUUGAAUAUCACACUUUCGGUGGGAUGUGGUUAUUUGGUGUUCUUAUAUGGUCUUUGUAUUGAUAAAAAAUACAUUUACUACGCAGGCAAGUUGAAGUGUGACAUGUGGAAGGUAAUACAGAAUUGUACCAGAAGAUGGCUCGACAUUGAUUGUAAGACAUGGUGCAUUUAAAGGUUUCACGGCUGAAUGCCCCUUAUAUAUAAUCAUGGGGAAGAUCAGAUGCCCACAUGUGGAUGUUGCAUCUCCUGGUUUUCUGGAUCUUUUAAUAAAAAACCAUAGAAAGCAGAAAAUAUGCUAUUGCAGCAAACGAAACACCCUGAUCUCCCAAUCAAGACAAGAGUUGUAAUUAAGAUGCUUCCUCUUUCUCUUAUGGUUUUCUUGCUUCGGGAAAGGUGGCAAAUAAAACUCUUAGAUUCUGCCACAAAGCUUGGGAUUCCCCUUUACUUGUAAUACAAUUGCAUUUGAGAAUACUCCGUGGACCGGAACAUCAACCCUCUAAAUUGUUGUCCGAAAGCUUCAGGUACAAUAAGGAGGAAAUAUUUAGCUUUGGUGCAUUGGAUAAAGUUAGAUAGUACUUCACUUUCAAGAAAAUUGUAGCUCAUGUUUAACUUCUGAAGAAUGAAGAGAUUACUCACUUUCUUAGGAAUUUCUCCUCAUAAGGAGUUUCCCUAAAGAUUGAUAGAAUUUAGGAAGGAAAGAUAUCGGUAUAGGGGGUGAAACUGGGCCCAUGGGACGCCUUAGUUUCCAAUAAGGUAAACGGAGCAAGAGGCGUGAUGACAAGGGACUAGAAUGGAGGCAAGGAUCCCCUCGAGCCGUGAUCCGGGCAAAACGCCAGAACUCGGGAGUAUCGGGGCCAUGACACCAGGUUCGAUUUGAAUCCCAGAGGCAUCAAAGAUCAUUACCAGGCAAUCGAGCACGACCAACAAUAGGCCAUGAUAUCCGUGACCAUCCGGAUAUCACGGCCUGGAUCUCGGCACGUAUAAGCAGGAAUCUGGUGAUUGGUUAAACGGAAGAUUUUUACCUUUUUAUGGAAUUGUAUUUAGAGUAGGACUCCCCUACUAUAUAAAUGGGGUCUCAUUAUUCAUUAACCACAUUGUAACAUACAUAUCAAGGCAAUAUUUUCAUUUUCUCUGUUAUUCAAAGUUCUCACUUUUGUUCAUCAAUGCUCAGUUAUUGUGAGUCCGAGAUCGAGAGCAGAUAUUUCAUUAAGGCUGUUGUUGAUUUCGGAACCUCCCCCAUUAAGCGGUUUGGCAAUUUAUUACGUCCUCUAUCUAUUUAAUCUAACACAAUUUAUCAUUUGUAUUGAAUUAAUCCACGUAUCCUUAAAAUCACUUACAAAUUUAAUUGUUAUCCGUUUUUGAGGGUAAACGAUUUGGCGCCCACCAUGGGGCUAAGGAUAAUAGUGGCAAUUUGAUACAAUUUCCUUAACAUAUCCUAUUUUACACUUGUUCUUUGAGCUUUUAAUUUCAGAUCAUAAUUUAGAAUGUCGAACCCCCAAUCUGCCCCUUUGAAUGUGGAUGCUGAGUCUGGCCACCAUAGCGAGAACAACAAUGUGGUACCCAGUAAUGGGGUUCCCCCUGUCGACCCCAAUGGAGUUCCGGCCGCGGACCCGAUCGACGCAAACUCACGUGUGGCCAUCAAUGCAAACUUACCUACCGAUCUUAAGAAUAACAUCCGUGGGGGAGUCCGAUCGGUGGCCCAAAAUACACACGACACCAAAGGUGAUGGGAUCAACUUGCAAGUAAUCUUUGAAAUAUUGCAGGCUCAGCAAGCAGCGAUAACCCAGUUAUAGAACCAGAGCCGCGACCCCUGCAGAGUCGAGCCUGAACCAUCCCGAGAAAGUGCUCGCAGAAAUGAACCAAUCAUAGAAAGGCCGAGUAAAGCUGAACUCGGGACCAACCCCGAGAUCAUAAAGAUGCUUGAGGAACUGACAAAACGGGUGGAAUCGGGAGAAAAGAAAAUCGAAGCCAAUGACAAAAAAGUAGAAACUUACAACUCUAGGGUCGACCAAAUCCCAGGAGCACCACCGAUAUUGAAGGGCCUGGAUUCUACGAAGUUUGUUCAAAAAUCUUUUCCUUCGAGCGCAACUCUGAAACCGAUCCCAAAAAAAGUUCUGCAUGCCCGAAAUUCCUAAGUACAAUGGAACAACUGAUCUAAAUAAACAUGUGACCUCCUACACGUGUGCCAUCAAGCGGAACGACUUGGAAGAUGAUGAGAUCGAGUCCGUCUUGCUGAAAAGGUUCGGAGAGACCUUGUCAAAAGGAGAUAUGAUAUGGUAUCACAACUUACCCCUAGAUCUAUUGACUCAUUUGUUAUGCUUGCAGACGCCUUCGUGAAAGCACAUGCCGGGGCCAUCAAGGUCGAGACCAGGAAGUCAGACCUUUUCAAAGUGAAGCAAAGAGAUAAUGAGAUUCUCAGGGAAUUCGUGUUCUGGUUUCAAAUGGAACGAAUGGACCUACCUCCGGUCGCGGAUGAUUGGGCCGUUCAGUCCUUCACCCAAGGACUCAAUACUCGAAGCUUACUGGCUUCACAACAGUUGAAGCAAAAUCUGAUAGAAUACCCUGCGGUAACUUGAGCCGACAUCCAUAAUUGGUACCGAUCAAAAUCAAGGUCGAGGAUGAUUAGCUCGGGGCCCCUUCCGAGUCCGUCUAUCCCAUCAGAGCUAGUGAUAGAUCCAAAAGAGACACUGAUCGUGAACCAAGCUCGAAUAGAGACCGGUAUUAACCAUACAAUGGAGAUCGAAAGGGGUAAUGGGUCUGGACGAAACCUUGUGAGAAGUGAAAGAAUAAGCGACCGAGGUCAAACUAACCGGGUACUCAUGAGAAAAAGCAGUUUUGAUAGGCCCAUUGGGCCUAAGGAAGCGCCGAGGUUAUCAGAGUACAACUUCAACGUCGACGUUGCUGCCAUCGUAUCUGCCAUCGGACGCAUCUAAGACACCAAGUGGCGUCAACCUUAACAGUUCGACCCUGCCCAAAGGGACCCCAACCUAAUGUGUAAAUAUCAUGGCACUCACGGUGACAGAACUGAAGAAUGCCAACAAUUGAGAGAGGAAGUAGCCCGUUUAUUCAACAAUGAACACCCCCGAGAGUUCCUGAGCGAUCGAGCCAAAACUUAUUUCAGGAAUAGGGACUCCAAUAAGCAGAUCGAGCAAGCGGAACCUCAGCAUGUCAUUAACAUGAUCAUUAGUGUGGUUGACGUCCCCUAGGAGACGAUGUUAAACGCACCAAAGUGUCCAUCACAAGGGAAAAAUAGACUCGAGAUUACGUGCCAGAAGGAACCGUAUAUUUCAAUGACGAGGACGUUGAAGGCAUCAUGCAACCACAAAAUGAUGCACUGGUAAUAUCUGUACUCAUAAAUAAAUCUUGAGUUAAGCGUGUGUUAAUUGAUCCAGGUAGCUCGGCCAAUAUCAUAAGAUCGAGGGUCGUAUAAUAGCUGGGGCUACAAGACCAAAUUGUGCCUGUAGUUUGAGUUCUAAACGGAUUCAACAUGGCAUGUGAGACCACUGAAGGGGAGAUAACCCUACCAGUGAACACCAUCGGAACCCUUCAAAAAACAAAGUUCUACGUGAUCGAAGGAGACAUGAGAUACAAUGCUCUGUUCGGGAGGCCAUGGAUUCACAACAUGAGGGCAGUACCCUCGACACUUCACCAAGUGUUGAAAUUCUCAACACCAGGAGGGAUUAAAAUAGUUUACGAAGAGCAACCAACCGCAAAAGAGAUGUUCGCAGUCGAUGAGGUGAUCUCGAUAUCUGCACUCUCGACAUCAAAGAACCCGAGUUUAGUCACCUAGGAAGAAACCAAAUAGAUAUCACCGAUACCGGUCCAGACCGAGCCAGAAAAGCAGGGGACGGACGAGGAUGAGAAUUAAGGAGUUACCAGGUCUUUCAUAACCCCUAACGAUUCUGAUGCUACCAAGUCAACCGUCGAGGAGCUGGAGCAAGUUAUAUUGAUCUAGCACCUGCCAGAUCGCCUGAUCCCACCUUAACAUGACAGGGAUCCCUCCAAAAAUAACUACUCACAAGAUGAGUCUGGAUCUGAAGUUUCACCCGGUCAAACAGAAAAGGAGGCCUCAAUCCAAAGUCAAGCAUGCAUUCAUCAAAGACAAGGUAUCUAAACUCCUUAAAAUAGGCUAUAUUCGGGAAAUUAAGUACCCGGAUUGGUUAGCAAACGUAGUAGUAGUCCCUCAAAAAGGAAAUAAAUUAAGAAUGUGUGUGUAUUACAAAGACUUGAACAAGGCAUGCCCCAAGGACUCUUUUCCUCUGCCUAACAUCUAUCGCAUGAUCAAUGAGAUGGCUGGCCACGAGAUCCUCAACUUUCUCGAUGCCUAUUCUGGGUACAACCAAAUCCGGAUGUACCUGGGCCUCCAGGAAAAACCUUCUUUCAUCGCUAAAUACGACACCUAUUAUUAUAACGGAAUGCCAUUCAGAUUAAAAAAAGCCGGUGCCACUUACCAACGCCUAGUAAAUCGGAUGUUUGAAGAGAAAAUAGGAAAAUAAAUGGAGGUUUACAUUGAUGACAUGUUAGUUAAGUCCCUGCGAGUAGAGGACCAUUUGAAACAUUUGCAGCAAACCUUCAACAUACUGAAGAAAUACAAUAUGAAGCUGAAUCCAUAGAAAUGCGCAUUCGGAGUCGGGUCCGAUAAAUUCCUCGGAUUCAUGGUGUCGAACCGGAUAAUCGAGAUCAACCCCGAUAUCAAUACAAUAUCGAAUAUCGACCCCAAACCGCCAUCAAAUCCCAAAUUUUGGCAGACUUCGUGGCCGACUUCACGCCGACCCUAAUACCCGAGGUCGAAAGGGAAUUAUUGUUGAACUCGGGGACUUCCUCGGGGAUCUAGACCCUCUUUACCGACGGUUCCUCGAACGCAAAAAGGUAUGGACUUGGCAUCAUAUUAAAGCCACCGAUGGGUAAUGUAGUUAGGCAAUCUAUUAGAACUGUAAAAUUGACUAACAAUGAGGCUGAGUAUGAGGACACAGUUGUAGGUCUAGAACUGGCUAAAAGCCUGGGGGCCGAGGUGAUCGAAGCUAAGUGCGAUUCCCUCCUCGUGGUGAAUCAAGUCAAUGGGACGUUCGAAGUAAAAGAAGAACGAAUGCGAAGAUACCUGAAUAAACUACAGGUAACACUACAUCGAUUCAGGGAAUGGACCCUACAACAUAUACCCCGGGAUCAAAACAGCAAAGCCGAUGCUCUAGCUAACUUGGGAUUAUCAGUUAAUGAUGACGAAUUCAGCUCGGGAAUGGUCAUACAACUCAUGAAAUCGGUAGUGGAAGAAGGCUACGCCGAGAUAAACUAGACAAGCUUAACCUGGGACUGGAUAAAUAAGUAUAUAGAUUACCUGAAUACCGGGAAGCUGCCCUCGGACCAUAAAGAAUUGAGAGAUCUGUGCACAAAGGCGGCCAUGUUCAACUUGUCCAAAGAUAAUACACUAUUCAGGAGAACGUUCGAUGGCCCACUCGCCAUAUGUUUGGGACCGAGAGAUACCAAAUAUGUCUUGAGAGAAGUUCACGAAGGCACUUGUGGGAACCAUUCGGGUGCCGAAUCACUGGUUUAUAAGAUAAUCUGAGCCGACUACUACUGGAUCGACAUGGAUAAAGAUGCGAAGGAGUUCGUACGAAAAUACGACGGAUGUCAGAGGCACGCACCGAUGAUCCACCAGCCCGGGGAGCUACUGCAUUCGGUCUUGUCACCUUAGCCAUUCAUGAAAUGGGGGAUGAACACUGUCGGUCCCCUGCCAUGGGCACCCGAUAAGGCUAAAUUUUUAUUAUUUAUGGCUGACUAUUUUUCUAAAUGGGUUGAAGCCCAGGCAUUUGAGAAAGUUAGGGAGAAAGAAGUUAUUGAUUUUAUUUGGGACCACAUAAUAUGCCGGUUCGAAAUGCCGGCCGAGACCGUAUGCAACAACGGGAAGCAGUUCAUCGUCAAUAAGAUGAGCAGAGUUUUCAAGGACCAUAAGAUAAAAAAGAUACUAUCAACACGCUAUCACCCUAGUGGGAACAGGAAGGCGUAGUCUACAAAAAAAGACCAUAUUCCAAAACCUUAAGAAGAGAUUGACCGACGCCAAAGGAAAAUGGAAUUAAAUUUUUCCCGAGGUCCUGUUCGCAUAUCGUACGACCUCAAAAUCUAGUACCGGGGCCACCCCAUUCUCGUUCGUCUACGGUGCCAAAGUGCUAAUAUCGAUCGAAGUAGGAGAACCACGUUUUAGGUUCCGCUAUGCUACCGAAGAGUGAAACUGUGAGGCCAUGAGCAUGAGCCUAGAACUAUUGGACGAGAGGAGCGAGGCCGCCCUCGUCCGGUUGGCCGCCCAAAAACAACGGAUCGAAAGGUAUUACAACCGGAGAGCCAACCUCCGACACUUAAAUAUCGGGGACUUGGUGUUAAGAAAGGUGACACUGAACACACAGAACCUGAACGAAGGGAAGCUAGGACCGAAUUGGGAAGGUCUAUAUUGAAUUAUCAAGAUUACCGGUAAAGGAUCAUACAAACUCGAAGUAGGGAACUGUGAGCUACUACCGAACAACUGGAACGUAACUUACUUAAAACGAUACUACUGCUAAGGUACGACCCCAUUCAUUCUUUUCUUUACAUAUGUUGCGAAUUAGACUAACACUUGCAGGCAACAGCCAAAGAAUAAUGCAGCUAUUAGGCCUGGAAUCAUGCGAUGCACUCUUUUUCCCUUGAACCAGUUUUGUGCAAAAUGGGUUUUUCUGCAAGGUUUUUAAUGAGGCAACAAUAGAUCGUGCUAACUUAGAAUUGAAGACCGGUUAUGAACCGGAAUCGAGGGCCACAUCAACAGUAUCCGAGUCCUCUUGACAAUCGACCUCGAAUACUGAGGGCCAUCACCCCAGGAUAAUGAUAUUAGCAAAGAAGGAAACUUUGUGCGUAAACAGUCUAUGUUCGGUGGGUAUGUUACGAGGUAUUAUGACUUGUGUGAAUUGUCGGUUUUGGUUUUAAGAUAUUUCAGAGUUAGCUUGAAAGAAUGAAUUUUCAUGUUGGAAGCUUAAGUUGAAAUAGUUGACCGGAUGUUGCCUUAUGUGUAAAUGACCCCGAAAUAGAGUUUUGAUGAUUCCAAUAGCUCCGUAUGGUGAUUUUGGACUUAGGAGCGUGUCUAAAAAAAUAUUUGGAAUCCCGUAGUAGAAUUUGGAUUGAAAUGGCUAAAAUAGAAAGUUGAGUUUGGAAGUUUGACCGGGGAGUUGACUUUUUGAUAUUGGGCUUGAAAUCUGAUUCUGGAAAUUUGAAUAGCUUCAUUAUGUCAUUUAUGACUUGUGUGCAAAAUUUGAGGUCAAUCAGACUUGAUUUGAUAGGUUCUGGAGUCGUUUGUAGAAAUUGGAAGUUUUAAAGUUCAUUAGGCUUGAAUUGAGGUGCGAUUCAUGGUUUUAGCAAUGUUUGAUGUGAUUCGAGGCUUCGACCAAGUUCGUAUGAUGUUUUAGGACUUGUUGGUAUAUUUGGUUGAGGUCCUGAGGGGCUCGAGUGAGUUUCGGGAGGUUAACGGGUCGAUUUUGGACUUAGCAUGUUGGUUGAAGACUGCUGGUGUAGUCUUCUGGUUUCCUUCUCCGCGUUCGCGAGAGGGCCCUCGCGUUCGCGAAGGAAAAAAAUGGUGGGCAUGGGUAUUUUUCCUUCGCGUUCGCGAAGGGGAGCUCAUGUUUGCGAAGAAGGGCUCCGUAAAGCAUCGCGUUCGCGAGCAGUGUCUCGCUUUCGCGAAGAACAAAUGUUGGGCAGCACAUUUUGUGCUUCGCGAACGCGAGGGACUUGUCGCGUUCGCGAAGAAGAGAGGUCCGGAUAGAGAGUUUAAGUUCUGAAAAUGGGACUUAGUCCCAUUUUCAGUUUUUGACGGAUUGGAUCUCGGGAAGAAGCGAUUUUCAGGAGUUUUUCAAGGAAAAUAACGGGGUAAGUGUUCUUAACUCAAUAUUGGUUAACUUACCUGAAUCCAUGGUUGUUUUUAUCAUUUAAUUGGAGAAUUAAGUUGGAAAAGUUUGCAAACCCUCUUGGUUUAAAUUGAAUAUUUGAGGGUCGAGUUGGGGUCGAAUUUUGGUAAACUUAGUAUGGUUAGACUCGUGGUUGAAUGGGCUUCUAGAUUUUUUAACUUUUGUCGGGUUCCGAGACGUCAAUUUUUGAACUAAAUUUUGGAUUUUUAUGGGAAAUUAGUAUUUUUUAUGGAAUUAAUUCCAAUAAAUUUUAUUGACUGAAUCGAAUGAAUUGUGGAUAGAUUCGAGGCGUUUGGUGGCCAAUUCACGAGGCAAAGGCAUAGCGGAGUAAAGAAUUACACUAUUUGAGGUAUGUAACACUUCUAAACUUGGUUAUGAGGGUAUGGAUCCCCGAAUUUGGUAUGAUAUAAAUAUUUGAAGGUGACACACAUGAUAGGUGACGAACAUGUAGACGUGAACCACAGAAAUUGUGUCUUGAAUAAAUCUUGUGAAGUUGUAAAAUUUAAGAAUCAUGUUAUUAUCUGAACAUAUGGUACAUGUUAGAGGAAUUGAGCUGAGGCUUAUGAUAAAUAUCGUGGUUAGGCUACGUGUCAAUAUUUUAGGACCUAUGGGGCCGUGUUGUCGUUGAAUUAAUUUUUNNNNNNNNNNNNNNNNNNNNNNNNNNNNNNNNNNNNNNNNNNNNNNNNNNNNNNNNNNNNNNNNNNNNNNNNNNNNNNNNNNNNNNNNNNNNNNNNNNNNNNNNNNNNNNNNNNNNNNNNNNNNNNNNNNNNNNNNNNNNNNNNNNNNNNNNNNNNNNNNNNNNNNNNNNNNNNNNNNNNNNNNNNNNNNNNNNNNNNNNNNNNNNNNNNNNNNNNNNNNNNNNNNNNNNNNNNNNNNNNNNNNNNNNNNNNNNNNNNNNNNNNNNNNNNNNNNNNNNNNNNNNNNNNNNNNNNNNNNNNNNNNNNNNNNNNNNNNNNNNNNNNNNNNNNNNNNNNNNNNNNNNNNNNNNNNNNNNNNNNNNNNNNNNNNNNNNNNNNNNNNNNAUAGGUGUCAACGGAUGCUUCAGACAGCGGGUAUUCUGGAGACCAAAGGGGUCUCAUUCACUACUUUUCAAUUUUUUGUGGCUGCACUCAGAUGGUGGGAGAAUUACGAGAGGCGUAGGCCUAUUGGCGCAGCACCCCUUACUUGGCAGCAAUUCUCCGUGGUCUUUUUGGAGAAGUUCAUGCCUCAGUCCCGCAGAGAGGAGCUGCGUAGAUAGUUUGAGCAGCUUCACCAAGGUGAUAUGUCCGUGAUGCAGUACGAGAUGAGAUUUUUUGAGUUGGCUCAUCACAUAGUCUGGUUGGUUCCCACUGAUUGGGAGAGGAUUAGGAGGUUCAUUGAUGGCCUCACAUAUCAGCUGCAGUUACUUAUGACUAGGGAGAGAGUAUCUGGUGCUACUUUUGAUGAGGUAGUGUACAUUGCUCGGCAAAUAGAGAUGGUUCGUAGCUAGGAACGUGGAGAGAGAGAGAGAGGCUAAGAGGCCUCGUGGUCCAGGUGAUUAUAGAGGUGUUCCUUCAGGGGGUCAGUUUUACCGCGAUAGGGGUUGUUCUUAUUGACACGCUCAGACAAGUCGUUCAGUUCACAGAGGUGCAUCAUCUAACCAUGGUUCAUACAGUUCUCCUCAUAGUCAGUCAUCUCUCAGUGCACUUCUAGCCCCGAGUACGCUCCGUACACCAUCAGUUCAAGGAUCAUAUGUAGCAGGUCCUUUUGGUAAUCAUUCUGCUUCCCGAGGUCCGCCUCAGGACUCGCCACCAUUCUUCGAGAUAGAGUGCUACGAGUGUGGAGAGCUGGGCCAUGUGAGGAAAUAUUGUCCCCGCCAUACACGAGGUACAGUUCAGCAGAGGAGUCAUGCUACUUCUUCUGUACCAGUUGCUCCACCACCCGUUCCGCCAGUUCAGGGUGGAGCUCAGUCAGCUAGGGGUCGCCCAAGAGGGAGAGGCCGAUUAGGUGGCGGUCAGGGCCGAUUCUAUGCUUUUCCUGCCAGGCCAGAUGUUGUUGCUUCAGAUACAGUGAUCACAUGUAUUGUCUCAGUGUGCCACAGGGAGGCAUCUAUAUUAUUUGACCCUGGUUUCAUCAUAUUUUGUUCAUUUCUGGAUAUGCAAUGUGAGUCAUUAGUUCACCUGUUCAUGUAUCUACGCCGAGGGGCGAUCCUAUAAUUGUGUAUCGGGCGUAUCGGUCGUGUGUGGGGAUUUUUGGGGGACUAGACCUGAGUUGGUCUUUUAUUGCUUAGCAUGGUCAAUUUUGAUAUUAACUGGGUAUGGUGAGAUAUCAGAUGUUUUGUUAUAUGGCCUUGAGCCAAGUGGGGAAGUCUGCUAUCUACGAUUUGAUUGCACGAUUAGGUUUGGUAUUGGUUUUGGUCUGAGACAUACUUGUUGAUUAGUUAUGACUUACAAAGGUUGAGAUCGGGGAUGACUCGAGUAAAGUAUGAAAAUUAUGGAAUGAGUAAGUUGUUAUUUUGAAGGAUGUAGUGCACACGAAGUAUGAAAUUGAUUGGUCGUGUUAAGAUAGGGUUACUUAUUUGAGUGUUGAUUGUGUUAAAGGAGCACAUGUCCUUCGGCUUGUUCAAGAGGUACAAUUUAGAUUUGAGCAUAUCGGUGUGUUGUGAGGGAUUUAGAUCUAUAGGUACGAUGUGGCAAUUCAUUCUUGAAAGGAAGAUCACAAAUUCUGAAUGGAAUGGUUAGUGUUAUAUAUUUAGAUGAAUGUUAUAGUUGCUCGGUAACCCCUGAGAAGGGUGUGUGGUUGAAAUGGGCUUUUUUUGUUGAUCUACAAAUAUUCAUAGGUAUUACGAUACUCUCCUAGUUUAUAGACUGUUGAUAUUCAAAUUAUCGAUAUUAUUGGCACGUGAGUUGUCCGUGCAGGUCAAGAUAUUGAUACCAUAGCACAUGAGUUGUCCGUGCGAGGGAUGUUAAUGUCAGCUCUAGAAGAGCUGGUUACUAUUAUUAAACUUGUGUGUAUGGGGUCCACUAUAUAUAAUGAGCUUAUGGCAUCACAGUUGUGGCGGUGCUUGUUGAACUUACAAUACAGUUCUCUACUUUGAGACAUCUUCCAUUUUGGGUAUGAGGUUGCGCAGUUGUGGAUUGAGUUGUAUUGGUGUGACAAAUCAAUAUGAUAGUUGUAUUUAAUAAUAUAAGGUCAUUGUACCUAGAAUGGGUACUAUCAGGUUUGAUUACGGUAUAUUCAUGAGUAUAAUAUUGAAAUGACUUAGAAAGUGAUUAUGGUUCUGGUUGGGGCGAGAGAGCUCCAUGGUUAGUUGAUCUGAUGAGUGGCUAUGAGUUUUUGAUUGUUUCUUUCAUCAUUAGUAGUGCAUGAAGGUUUUGGAAUGAGGUUCUAUUGAAUGCGGGGUUUUAAUACUUGUACUUGGUUGGUUUGGAGUAAUUACUAUGAUUGUGAUCGAGAAUGGUGUUGCGAGCAUGCGAGUUGUGUAGUAUGUAAUGUGAUUAUAUCUGGGUUUAUGGCUAUGGCUUGAUACAUCUUGUUUAGACUUAUACGGUGUGCAAGAUUUAGAUCUUGGAAAGAAUUUUGAGUAUUAGAAAAUGGGCUCCAUGUUUUGGGCUAAGGUUAAAUUAAUGACUUUCAGUUGUGUUAUGUUGUCAGGACUAUAUAUAAUAGGGUGACGUGGUAUCACCCCCGGGUAUGUGCGUGGUAAAUGGAAUAGUGAUGUGAUGGCUUGGAAAAAACUCUUGGCAUGUUCGAGGAUGAAUGUAUGUUUAAGUGGGGGAGAUUGUAACGACCCGAUCGGUCGUUUUUAGCAUUUAUGCUCAUUCCAACUAUUUAAAGUCUUGAAUAACUUCCUACGAGGUAUUAUGACUUGUGUGAAUUGUUGGUUUUGGUUUUAAGGUAUUUCGGAGUUAGCUUGAAAGAAUGAAAUUUCAUGUUGGAAGCUUAAGUUGAAAUAGUUGACCGGAUGUUAACUUAUGUGUAAAAGAACCCGGAAUAGAGUUUUGAUGAUUCUAAUAGCUCCGUAUGGUGAUUUGGACUUAGGAGCGUGUCUAAAAAAUUAUUUGGAAGCACAUAGUAGAAUUUGGCUUGAAAUGGCUAAAAACGAAAGUUGAGUUUGGAAGUUUGACUAGGGAGUUGACUUUUUGAUAUCGGGCUCGAAAUUUGAUUCUGGAAAUUUGAAUAGUUUCGUUAUGUCAUUUAUGACUUGUGUGCAAAAUUUGAGGUCAAUCGGACGUGAUUUGAUAGGUUCUAGAGUCGUUUGUAAAAAUUAAAAGUUUCAAAGUUCAUUUGGCUUGAAUUGAGGUGCGAUUCGUGGUUUUAGCGAUGUUUGAUGUGAUUUAAGGCUUCGACUAAGUUUGUAUAAUAUUUUAGGACUUGUUGGUAUAUUUGGUUGAGGUCCCGAGGGGCUCGGGUGAGUUUCGGGAGGUUAACAGGUCGAUUUUGGACUUAGCAUGUUGGCUGAAGACUGCUGGUGUAUUCUUCUGGUUUCCUUCUUCGUGUUCACGAGAGGGCCCUCGCGUUCGCGAAAGGGAAUUUGAGGCAAGCAAGAUUUUCCCUUCGCGUUCGCGAAGAGGGGCUGGAGUCAUACAAGGUUGUUCACCGCAUUCGCGAUUGGUAUCGCGUUCACGAAGGGAAAAAUUGUGGGCAUGGGUUUUUUGGAGCUCGCGUUCGCGAAGGGGAGCUCGCGUUCGCGAAGAAGGGGUCCAUAAAGCAUCACGUUCGCGAGAGGGUUUUAGUAUGGUCAGAUUGGGGUCGAAUUUUGGUAAACUUAGUAUGGUUAGACUCGUGGUUGAAUGGGCUUCCAGAUUUUUAACUUUUGUCGGGUUCCGAGACGUGGGCCCCACGGACAAUUUUUGAGCUAAAUUUCAGAUUUUUAUGGGGAAUUAGUAUUUUAUUAUGGAAUUAAUUUCAAUAAAUAUCAUUGACUGAAACAAAUGAAUUGUGGAUAGAUUCGAGGUGUUUGGAGGCCAAUUCACGAGGCAAAGGCAUAGCGGAGUAAAGAAUUACACGGUUUGAGGUAAGUAACACUUCUAAACUUGGUUCUGCGGGUAUGAAUCCCUGAAUUUAGUAUGAUAUGAAUUGUUGAAGGUGACACACACGAUAGGUGACGAACAUGUAGACUUGCACCACAGAAAUUGUGUCUUGAAUAAAUCUUGUGAAGUUGUAAAAUUAAAGAAUCAUGCUAUUAUGUGAACAUAUGGCACAUGUUAGAGGAAUUGAGGUGAGGCUUGUGAUAAAUAUUGUGGUUAGGCUACGUGCCGAUAUUUUAGGACCCAUGGGGUCGUGUUGUCGUUGAAUUAAUUAUUCAAAAAUAUACAUUUCACACUGAGUAAUAAUUGUCCAUUUUGAGGAUAUUUAUGGGAUUGAGCUGCGCAACGCAGCAUGCCAUUUGGCUUUAUAUAUGUUAUUAUUAAAUGGAUCGGGGCUGCCUGCCUACACCAGGCCAGAAUGGAUUUAUACAUUAUUAUUGUUCUGGAUCGGGGCUACCCGCCUGCAGCAGGCCUUAUUGGCUUUACUAUUUUAUGGAUCGGGGCUGCCCGCCUGCAUCAGGUCUUAUAGGCUUUGUUAUUAUACGGAUCGGGACUGCCCGCCUGCAGUAGGCCAUAUUCGCUUUGUAUUAUACUUGGGCUGAAGGAGCCCCUCUGGAGUCUGUACACACCCCCAGUGAGCGUAGAUGAUCAUCGAUAUUCGGGAUGGAUUUCCUAGGAUAUGGACUUGUCUUUCUUACUGCUUAUAUAUAUAUUUGGGAUGGAUUUUCCCAGGGCAUGGACUUGCCUUAAUUAAUUGUAUUGUAAUGAGUUAUUUGGACAUGGAUCUUGUCAGUAUCAUUUAUAUAUAGGGAUAAAUUAUCCCAGGGAUGGAUUGGCUUUAUACAGUACUGAGUGACUGACUGUCAGUCGAUGUGUAAUUAUAUACGGGUUGGAACACCCCUGGGCUAGAUUGGCCAUAAACGGUACCGAGUGACCGGAUAAUUUGUGACCAGUAUUUACAUGAGGUCUUUCUACUGAGAUGUCAUAUUCCUCAUAUCAUGCAGUAUUGAUCUAUUUCACUUGUACUGAGUUUAACUGUUAAACUUGAAAGCAUGCCUACAUUUCUGUACCAUUACUUUUACUGGACUGUUCCUACAGAGCUCAUCAUUUCUUUCAGCCCAGAGGUUAGUUUUGUUACUUAUUGAGUUAGUUGUACUCAUACUACACUCUGCAUCUCGUGUGCAGAUCAGGUGCUUUCGGACACGGAGAUUGUUAGAUUUCAGAAUAUUAUCAGUUAGAGACUAUCAAGGUAGUUGCUUGGCGUCUGUUGACCUUGUCUCUCUUUCCUUUAGUUAUCAUACUGUUCUAUAUUUUCAGACAGUGGUUUUUAUCAGUCAAUCAUUGUACUCAUAAUUAGAUGCUCAUGUACUCUGUGACACCGAAUUUUGGGAGUGUUAUAUUUGAAAUUAUGAGAUUUCUUCCGCAGAAUUAAUUAUUUCGUUUUCAAAGUUAAAAGAAAUGGUGGUUUAUCGGGAAUUUUGGCUUGCUUAGUAUUGAGAUAGGUACCAUCACGACAUGUGAGAUUUUGGGUCGUGACAGGGUAGGAUUUAUUAUAAGAGUAAAAUGGUCAAAUGAACCAUGCCCACAUAAACCGCUUAAGCCAUAACACGAAGCUUGUACAUAUUUACAAUUUUGUAUAUAGCGCACAGAAAUGAAAGAAAGUUUCCACCUUGCAGAUACACAUUUUGUCCCCUAAGACUAUUACAUUUUGUUCCUUAAAGGAUAUCGAAGCCCGGUGGCACAAAAGCCUAUUAGGCAGUGCCUAAACUUGAAAGGCUACGGCAACCCCUGCUCGGGGACUGACGUCCAAGGCAAGUUAAGAUAGCUCGGGCUAUCGAAGCCCAAAGGUACAAAGCCUAUUAGGAAAUACCUAAACUUAAAAGGCUACGACCACCCUAGAAAUGGCUCGAAGACGUUCGAAACCCGUAAUCAAAACAUAAGGCCUUCAAAAAUUCCAAACCGGUUCAAAGGCUACGUAUCUAAAAACAUCUAAACAAGAACUUCGGGGAAAGCUUCUGGUUAUACCGAGCCCCCAAGAGGCUUGUUCGAACCUCCGAACAAGACCUUAGUACUACAUUUUAUUCAGUGCUAAGGCAUUUGAAAUCUUUGCAAUCAUAAAGAGGAAACCAAAAGAAACGAAUUCAAAAUUGCCAAAGGGAAAAAAGCCUUAUAUACAUUCCAAUAAAAGUCUUUACAAAGGCCAACGAUAACGGCCUCAACAAAAUGAACAAAGUACAAAAACAAAGAAAAAUCCCUAAGGCUCCUAAGCCCGAUCUUCAUCGGAACCCGCCUCGUCAUUGGGGCCGUCAGGGUCUUCUCCAUCCUCCAGUUCACCGAAGUCGUCAGAGUGCUCCUCAUCAUUGGGGUCAGCUAGCUUCUUGGCCUCGACCUCGAGCCUUUUCGCAUUUUCAAUCUCGGCUAAGAGGUCGAAACCCCGGGUAUGGACCUCCUCGAGAGUUUUCCUUCGGGACUGCCACUUCACGUACUCAAUAGUGACUUUCAUAUGGUCCUGGGCUGCCUCGGCGCCAGCCAUAUACUGGGCCACCAUCUUCUCAGCAUCAACCCUGGUUGUUUCCGACACGAACCUCGCUAUCUCGAGCUCCUUGCCAAGAGUAUACCAUUCAGUAGUGUCCGAGCUCAGUUGGGAUUAUAUGUCUUUGAUUUGUUGAGCCCGUGCAUCUGCCUUUUCUCUCACCACACGGAGUUGAAACUACACCGCCGCCAGCUGCUCCCAGGCAGUCUCCUUCUCUGAGGCUGAUCGGUCUAUUUUUUCUUUCCACCCUUCGGCCAUGGACUUGACCUAGUUCAUCUCGGCUCGAAAUUGAUCGGUCUUAUCAACCUUUUGAUGGACCUGCGAGUUUUGGCCGUUAGUCGCCAUGUAUAACUCGUCAUCACCGACUUCAAAGAUAUUUACCUGUUCCACGAGGUCGACAUGUUCGUUUUGAGCUGCAUCCAACUUAGCUCGGAGACUCUUGACUUUGACUGCUUCUUCGCGUUGCUCGCUGAGAAGCUUAUACUUGUCCCUCUUCUCAGCAAGCUCUUUGACCUCGGCCUCGAGCUGGUUAACCUCAGCCCAGUACUGGAGAAAACUCUCAUGAUGAAGUACCGAGGCCUGCAAAAAUAUAAAAGAGAAAAAACAUGAGAGAUAUCAAAAACUAAGUCUGAAGGUGGAGAAGUGUAAUAACGCCUUACCCGGUUCAGCGCUUGCUGUGCUUCGUUUAACAAACACGGCGCAUUCACUCAUUCAUUUUCACUUGUUCUUCUUCUAUUACCAGGCACCGAAGGUAGCUAGCUACUCCUACAGGGGCAGAAUAAACCUGAGCAUCCUCCGGGAUGGUGAUGAUAACUGACUUCUUCCAGCCGGGGGUCCAUGCUCGAGGCGAGGAACCAGUUGAUUAAUUUUGGGCUCAAGUUCGGCCUGUCGACCUCCUAGGAUGAGCCUUUCCUUGUCAUAUCUAAAUCGGCCAACCCGGAGAAGUCCUCCAGAAUAGUAGAGUCCAUACCUUCAAAAAACGAACGGAGGGGAUCAUCCGCACCAUGGACCCCUUCGUUGGAUCGCUCCUUCGUCGCUCAGGCUUUGUCGAACAUAGACUUUGCGAAGGAAGGCGGCCCCAAAAUUUCUAUGACACCGGGCGGAGCGGAACCGGCGUCUAGAGAGGUCUCGUCCCUUACCUCUGCACCAGCCUCCUGAACCUGAGGGGAGUUAGCCUUCGUUGUUUCCCCCUCGAUCACUGCCUUCUCUUCAGGGAAAGAUGGCUCGCGGGCCACAAAAACAUCGCUUUCCUCGGGCACUUCCCUGAGCCAGAAAAAUGAGUCUGAGUCAGGCGCUCGUGAACUGAAGCUCUCCUUCGACUUGCGGACCAACCGUCUCCUCGGUUUUUCUUCUUUGAGCUCGGGAAACUCGGAGCCUCUUUCUCUUCUUCUCUCAUGCUGUAGCCCCAGGCUGUCCCAAAGCGGAAAGAUCAACUGACAUGUAUUCGCCUCCUACUAAUGGCCUAAGCUCAAUGGUCUUAGGCAAGCCUGCAAAAAGAAAAGAGAGGGAAUGAGAACAUGAUGCUGAAAAGGGGGGCCUAGUGUUACUUAUUCGGGAAAGAAAUCUUACCAUGAGAACGGGCCUCCCAGCGGCCCUUCGAGAGUUUGCGCCAUAAGCGCUCAGAGUAAGGGAUCUGCAAGCAAAUGCCAUCGAUCCAUUCCUUGAGCCGAGGAAUGGCGUUUAGGACUCGAUCAAGGGCUGCAUCACCACAAAUACCGAUGAGGAAAAAGGAAACAAAAUGUAAAAACAACAUCUAAAGGAAAGUAUACUUACGUGACAAAUUCCACUUCUCGGGGAAUGGCCUAAAUUCGGCAGGGAUCAGGUCUGCGGUCCUCACACGGAAAAAGCGUCCCUGUCAGCCCCGACCCGGUCCUCGUCGUUGCAAAAAAAUGGGGCUUUGCUAGCGUGACGUACGAGCUUUAUCAGUCCCCCCAGAAGAUUCGGGGACUGUACAGGCAGAGUAGAUGAUCGAUGGUGAACAAACAAGAGUCGACUUUGUUCACAAAGAAUCAUAGGAGUAUUACGAUCCUCUACAGUGACGGAUGGAUCUGAUCGAGGUAUACGUCAUACCUCCUACUGAAGUCUAGUAUGACCGGGUCCACUAGUCCUAGUGUGAAGGGGUUAGUGUAAACACUCAAAUACCCCUCCACAUGGGUAGUAAUGUCAUCGUCGGGCCCGGGGAUUACUAUGUCCUUACCCGCCCAGCCGCAAUCCUUUCGAACCAUAAGAAGGAUGACCUCAGUGAUAGAGCAAAUGUACCUUGAUACUGCCUCACAUCGGCCUUGUAUCGACGAUGGCUUUUUGACCUUAGAGUCGUCCAUGACCGAAUACCCCGUGGGAUCGAGGGCAGAUAUUUCAUUAAGGCUGUUGUUGAUUCCGGAACCUCCCCCUUAAGCGGUUUGACAAUUUAUUACGCCCUCUAUCUGUUUAAUCUAACACAAUUUAUCAUUUGUAUUGAAUUAAUCCGCGCAUCCUUAAAACUACUUACAAAUUUAAUUGUUAUCCAUUUUUAGGGUAAACAAUAUCAAAUACGAGGUAAGAUGCUUCCAGCUAACGUCUUGCCUUUCAGAUUCAAGCGAGUUACUCUUUGGUGCUUGAGGCUACAUUGAAUUCCAGGACACUGCCAGAAAUGUGAAGAACCAUUCCAAAAAUCCAACAUUGCCGAAGAGUCUUUAAUUAUAUAGGAUUUGAACUCGAGCAACACUCUCACGUCUGUCUCAUUUUUAAGAGUUGCAGUUGCAAAGCAUCUUGAGUUAAAGCAACAUAUGAAUGAUAGUAGAAGAUUAGAUUUGCAAUCUUAUCGUGUACUUUCUUUGUAUUGUUUGAUAGACUUGUGCUAUGUUUGUGCGUGUGUGUGCAAGUUUUGAGAUGAGCAGUCCUUUCAAACUUGAAAUAUUUGAUUAUUCCUUUUUUAUCCUAAGAUGCAGGGUUGGAAUUUUCUCAAUUGACCUUUAUGGUUAUUUUUUAAAAUUAUGAAGCUUUCAAUUCAUUCCUCAUUGCUUUCAUACGCCAGCCAUAAGCCAAUUCAAUGUCAUACUGGAGCCAUGAGUCUGGCGGUACUGGAGGCCUAGCCUUUUCCCCCUAAACUUUAUGUAAAGAAUCUUUUUUCAUAAAUCACACCAUAAAAAUAUAAUAAAAGAUGUAAAAAAUAUUAAAGCAGUUAUAAUUAAACCUGAAGAGUUUCAUGAAUGGUAUUGACUGCUUGCAUUUUUGCUGCUUUUCCCAUUUACGUUUUCUCUCUCCCGAAAGUUAAAAUCCGCUACACUAUUUGCGAAUGUGACAUAUAAGUAGAGUGCGACUUUACAAGUCAGUUUUCAGAUUGGGAUUUACAAGUCGGAAUCCUUGAAAGUGACUUAUAAGUCACAUUUAGGAAAUGCGAUUUACAAAUCGUAUUCAUUGAAUAAAAUUUAAAAGUCGUAUUGGUAAUGCAAUUUAUAAGCGCAAGCAGGGGAUAAUCUCAAUCCGUAGAAGCUGCAUCCUCAAGGGCUGAGUGAUUGUGUCGGUGAUCAAAAUAUCUUUCCCAAUGUGAUUUUAUAUAAAAAUACCUCAUCUUCCCCUUUUUUUGACACCCAUUUGGAUCCUUAUUGUUACAUAUAAAUUUUAUCUCUUUUUUUUAAUAAUAAUUCUCCGAUAAUUUUUCUUUUUAAAAACGUGUUCUUUCCUACAUAGAGUAAUGGGUUAUUCUUAAAUAUAACAUAACACAUAUUUACUGAACGCCUAAAAAAUUUCGACUGAUAAAGACUAUUAAGUACAUAUAUACAUCAGUGAAUUCCCACUUUUGUCAAAUACAUUGACGAUAUUAAUUAUAUAAGGUGUUACCAUCAAAUGAAAAACCCUUUUUUAAUAAGUCAUUUGCUAUUAGAGAAUUAUAAAUGACAAGUUUGUUGUUGGUUUCCCAAGUACACGCAAGUAUACGUGGCCGUCAAGUAAUAAAGUGACUCGAAAGUCGGAUGUCGAACUCACAAAGACUUAGAUUAAUCAUUAACUAAGCAAACUAAAAUCAAUUAACUGUCCAAGAUAAUAAAAAAUAUUGUUUAUCUACUAAACUACUUUUGCAAAUAUUGAACAAGUAAUUAGCUAAUUUAUUAGGGAUUCAAACGUGUGUUUUAUAUUUUGGUCAGAGGAGAUGAAGAUUCCAGGGUUGUGGUCGGUUUAUCAAUCCUAUUGAGUUCAAUAACCACACUUGUUAAUCCAGAUUAUCAAUGGUUGCUAAUUGACCGGAUUAUUUAUAUGAGUAGCAUGUUCCCACAAUACUACUCACCUAUCCACAAUAUACCAAUCUUAUAUUCCUAUGGUGUUGAUUCUAUCAUGAACGAAUAUAAUACGGUUUUCAACUAAGCAAGACUGUUAGGUAUAUUCUUAUCCUAACCGUGAAAUCUUUUCCCGAGCCACCGGUUCAGAAACAAUCUCUCUUUAAUUCUACUCUACUUUAAACAUGGCUUUCCCAAGCAUAGCAUAGAUAAUAGGGUGAAUUGGUAGCUACAACAACUCACAAGUUAAAACUAGAAUUAAAGAAACAACCACAAGAUGAUAAUCCAAAUUAACGAAGAUGUAAUUAAUAAACGUUAAUAAUCACGUCCACCACAACCCUAGAAACUAGAGUGCUUAGCCACUCAUGUUCGUAGUAAAACAAAUUCAAGUAUUUUGCAUAAACAAAUUACAAAUAAAAGAUGAAGGAAUGAAGAACUCGAUGAUUUUCUCCUCCAAAAGUUGUUCCACGUGAUGUUCUUGCCUCCAAAAAAUUAUCCAACCCUUAAAAAACUAACUUUAAGAGGUAUUUAUAGGGUAGGGGCCAAGUCUACAUGUCCAAAACUAAUGAAGAAUUAAAAUUUUCUCGGAUGGCAUCGUCGGCGCGAGGCACUGUUUGGGGCACAAAUAUUUCUGCGCGAGGCACUGUCUAUGGCGCCAUUGUUUCUGUGCGAGGCACUGUCUGGGGCACCAGUGACAGUGCCCUGGACAAUGUCUUGCACUGUCUAUGGCCAUGAAUUUUCAUUGCCUUACACGUCUUCUUUUAGUGCUCCAUUUUGUAGCUCUAAGGUACCAUUUCGUACAACGUUUUUCCAAUUCAUGUCCAAGCAUUCUUGGACACCAACUUAUACUGCCUCCAAAUUCUUCCCUUUUUGACUUCAAUUUGCAUGCAAACUCCCCAAAUCACUUCCAAUUGACUCCUGCACAUAAAAAUAUCAUUAUUAAACUCGAGUCACAAAUAUUCACACCAAAGUUAACAAGAUGAAGGCAUAAUGCACGGCAAAUUACAUGCAAAAACAUAGAAUUUUAGCCAAACAUCAUUUGUACAAGACAAAAAUUACCUUUGACAUGAUUAGACCAUAUUAGCAUUAAGAAGGCCCACAUGGGCUCCCACGUUUAACUAGUACGACUUCGAUAAAGGCCUGCCCAAGGUCGAAGUGGUCUCUUAAAAAGUAUAGGGCAUAUCUGAUGAAGUUAUUGAAGAUCAAGGUCGAAGAGUCAGCGAAGAUCAAGGUUGAGGUCGAGCACUCAUUGUAGACACAGUGAAUAACGACUAGUUUUAGGAUAAGACAUCAAAAGAGAAAAUUCUAGUGGAUAUUCUCUGUACCUGUACUAUUAGGGUUUUUUAGGUAUAUGUUCCCCAUAAAGAGAAAGAGACAAGGGGAGGGGAAGGAGGAGAUUCACUUGUAAGAAAGCACAUUGACUUUCGAGAUAAAAUGUGAUUUAUUGCAAACAUACAAUAUACACCUUUUCCCUAAGAUUCUCGCCUAACGUUUUCCCUUGAUCCAAGAACAACCUAAACAUUCGAAGGAUCAUCAAUCAUUCAUCAUUGUCAGAAGGAAUAUCCACAAAUCUCACCCCUUUUCGGGUGACUCAUACGUUCUUAUUUACUUAAAUGCCAUUCAUUGCUAUUUAUUCUUACUUAAUGCUAUCCUCCUCUUUUUUGGUACAUUAAAUAUUGUUAGUUUUGUCAGUAUUUUUUACCAUACGGAUAAUAUACAUAUUAUAUUACUACAAAAUCAGCCAACAUAUCUUUUGGACAUUAAUAUUGGCUAAGAUUGACUCUAUUUUAUUAAAUCUAAUUAGUUAAGUCCAGAUCUAAGUUUUGGGUCAAACUGUUUGGCGCCGUCUGUGGGGACUUCUUAGCUAAUCUUUUAGUUUCCUUUAGAAUAUACAACUCACGUGAGUUUCUAACCUAACAAACCACAAGGGUUUUCUCUUUCUCUGCACGUACGGAAACUUACAUGGCAGGUAACCAAGGAGACAUAACUAAAGCGACAGGUGACAUCUCCGACAACCUCAUGUGUUCUAUCAACAAGAUUUAUGAAAUGCUGGAUGAUGAAAUGACACCCACUACCUCCCCCAGGCACGAGAGGCCGCCUCCCCUCCAUUUUAGCACAACAAAACCAAACGGAAAAAGGGCCUCCACGUCCAUAGGAGAAGGGACGCCACCUGCCAUGAAAAAGCUCCUCGAAGCGUGGUUGACCGAUACCUUAGUAAGCGUGCUCAACAAACAAGCUCCAUGCAUGAUCGUAGAAACCGCGAGAGCCCACACGGUACAACAAGGAGACGAACAGGGCAAUCAACUAGACCCCCCAAUGCAAGGUAUAACUCACAAUGCUACUGACAGUGUAGGUGACGACGUCCUUGUCGCUGUUUUGAAGAGAAUGAAAGAAAUGGAGAAUGAGAACAAAACGCUUAGAGAUGAAAUGAAAGAACACCAAGAACGAUUUGACAAGAUACCGGGUGCCCCUAAACUACUGCCAAAUAGGGACGUUGGCAAGUUUGUAGAGCAGCCAUAUAGUGAGGAAGCAGCCUCAUAUGCCAUACCAAAGACCUUCAAAAUGCCACCAUAUCUCAGUUUUAUAUGACGAAACAACCGACCCCGAAGAUUACGUGACUCAUUACGUCACCACUGUGAAGGGAAAUGAUGGUAGGCUAGAAACCCAUAUUUUAGUCAUACUUUACACUCAUCACUGUAUUUUACUUGUGGUUGAGCUUAAUUAAUGGUGAUCUGCAUUUAUUACGUGUUUUAUGCCUUGCACGAAAUGAGUCCGAGCUACUAAGAUAAUUUGGAGCUAAUUUGAACAAGUUGGAGCUUUGAAGUCUGAGUCAAAGCCCAAGAUAUUAAGCCGGAUCACGUUCGGGAGUCGAGCACCAAGUUUGGAAGUCAAAAAGUGAGAAAAAAAGAUUACUCUGGAAAAGAUGCACUACCACACCGCGGGGCGCGGGGCACUAGUGCAAAAUUCAUGAAGAGUGUAAAAAUUAACUCUCUGAACUUCUCCACAGGCGCACCACGUAGGGCACGCGCGCACGUGCAAAUCUUAUAGAGUAUUUUUCCUACUUCGGCUUGGAAAGGAUAGAUUCGUCAUGGCCCAUUCCUACAUGGUAUAAAUACACCAAAGACAUGAUUUUAGAGGAAUUUUGACCUUGGAAGCUUUGGGAGAGCAUUGGAGGCUAUAAGACACAGGAUUUCAUCAUCUUUUCAUCAAUUCAAUACGGGAGUUUGGAUUGUAACGGUUGGAUUGAUGCUUUCUCACUCUUUAAUUAUAUUUGUGAUGACUUCCUCCAUAAUUAUGGAGUAGUUUACCUUAGGGUUUGACGUGAUUUGGGUGACUUGGUUAUUUUUUUUGGAUUUGAUUACUGUUUAAUUGCUUGAAUUUAUUGGAGGAGCUUUAAUAUAGUUGUGAUUUUCUUCUUUAUAGUGUUUAAUCGAAAGAGGAACAUUUUAUUGAAUAUUAUUGUAGCAUACUGUCACGUCCUUAGUCGUUAACUAAGUACACGUGUGGCACUUGACAACUCGCUCACGAUCUUGCACAACUUGCUCAUAUUCUUGCUAUGCCAAGUCAGCCUUACUACACUCAAGAUCGCUAAGAGAAUGGUAGAAAGAACACAAGAGUAUUGUUGAAGGUAGCUUUGUAUUAGAGAGAACUUGAAUUGAUUUCUUGAUGAAAUACAAAUGAAUGGCCCCCUUUAUAUACUAGUCUCCUAGGGGAUAGUGUAUAAAUAUUAAUUGUUACACAAGUCCUUAAUAUUUAUAACGUAAAUGCUUUCUUUAGAAUUCUCUACAAGCCUAGAAGAUUCCAAAGACUUUUCUAGCAAAUCCAUAGGGAUCUAGGGUCUUCCAAAGGAAAUGUCCAUACUUCUCAAGAAUAUUCUCACAAGUGCUAGCCUUCCUCAUAUGUAAGCUUCCACAUGGCAUUAAUAUAUGCCAAAUGGUGCCUAUGUGGCAUGAUGACAUGGAGGGUCAUAAACACUCUCCCCCACCUAAUGUUACGAUGAUCGCGGCGCAAUGCUGCUGCAUAAACUCACGGAUCUUAUAUUUGAAUUUCCAUAAGUCUUCAUAUCAUUCCCAUGUGGCCUCCUCCGGUGAUUGCCCCUUCCAAUGGGUGAGGAAAAUAGCGGAGGUUUUUUGCCCUUGUUUUUGCCUGACCUGGUAAUCUAUGAUAGCCUCAAUCUUCUGAUCAUUCAAGGCGGUGAUAGUAAUAGGCGCUCGACUUGAUUGGCCCCUACUCAGAUCAUCCUUAUAUUCAUGAUAUGGCUUAAGCAUGCUGGCAUGGAAGACAGGGUAGAUCUUAAGAUACGAUGGCAUGUCAAUCUUGUAUGAGAUCUUGCCUACCUUGGCGAUGAUCUUAAAUGGCCCAUCAUACUUCUGAAUCAAAUUUUGAUGCAUGCCUCGUAGUUCCUUGAACUGUCUCAGUUAAACUUUACCAUGAUCAUGUCCCCAACUCUAUAGUCCGCGGGACGAUGCUUACGGUCCGCAAACUUCUUCAUCUUCUUAGUUGCCUUAUCUAAGUAGGACUUAGCAGUGUCAAGCUGCUCCUCCCAUCCUUUGGCCAUAUGAUAAGCCCCCAAAACCUUUCCCUCGAAUGCGACUGGUAAUGAAUGUGGAGUUUGUGGCUGUUGGCCUGUGGCUAGCUCAAAUGGUGUCUGCCUCUUGGACUCACUUCACCAAUCUUUCUGAUGCGCACUUACAUAAUGCCUCAAGUAGCAUUCUAGUAAGGCAUUGACCCGUUCCGUUUGUCCAUCUGUUUGCGGGUGGAAACUAGUGGGAGAGUGUAGUUCUGUGCCAAGUAUGUCGAAUAACUCUCUCCAAAAUUUCCCAGUAAAAUGGGGGUAUCGAUCACUGAUAAUAUGCCUUGGUAAGCCCCAAUACUUCACCACGUUCUUAAAGAAAAUCUUCGCGGCUUCAUUGGCAGUGCAACCUGGUGAGGCGGGCAUGAUGGUGGCAUAUUUGGAAAAUCUAUCCACCACUACCAUAAUAGUAUCAUAACCAUUAGACUUCAGUAGGCAAGUGAUAAAGUCCAUAGUCACGCUCUCCCAUGGACACUCUGCAACUGGUAGUGACUCCAAAAGUCCUCUGGGUUGUUGUUGAUCAACCUUGUCCUGUUGACUGACAAGACAAGUCUGCACAUAACACUCUAUGUCAUCUCGUAUGUGUGGCCAAUAGUAUACUGACUCAACCAAGGCCCUAGUGCAACGUUGGUCUGGAUGAACAACCCACAUUGUGUCAUGUCUCUCCCUUAUAAUCCACCAUCUAAUGUCUCCAAACUUAGGCACACAGACCCGCCGACCUGUCGUAAGCAGUAGACCAUUUUUGACCCAAAUACGUCUCAUACUGCCCUGGUUGGCUAACUCGAUAAGCUGUUUGGUUGUUGGAUCAUGUUGCAUGCCUUCUUUUAUAGCCUCGCGAAUGUCCCAACUUGCUGAAGUAAUUGCCGCAAGUUCAGAUUUCCGGCUCAAGGCAUUGGCAACAAUGUUACCUUUGCUCGACUUAUACUCUAACACAUAAUCAAACUCGGCUAAGAAAUACUGCCACCUAGCUUGUUUUGGUGUGAGCUUCUUCUGCGUCUGAAAGUAGCUAGUAGUUACAUUAUUGGUCUUGACCACGAACCUCGACCCAAGCAAAUACUGUCACCAUGUACGAAGGCAAUGCACAAUGACAGUCAUUUCCUUCUCUUGCACCUUGUAACGCUGCUCCAUCUCAUUUAACUUGCGGCUCUCAAACGCUAUGGGAUGCUUAUCCUGCAUCAGGACAUCCCCAAUGGCAAAGUCUGAGGCAUCUGUAUGCACCUCAAAUGUCUUGGCAAAGUUAGGUAACACCAAGACUGGCUCCUCUAUUACAGUAGCCUUAAGGCCUUCAAAUGCCUUUUUACAAUGCUCCGUCCAACCCCAUGGCUUGAUCUUUUUUAGCAACUCAGUCAAUGGUGCGGCCUUUGCUGAGUAUCCACUAAUGAACCGACGAUAGUAGUUAACAAGGCCAAGGAAAAAUGUCUACUCAGUUACCUUUAUAGGUGCCUCCCACUCUUGGAUAACAUGUACCUUGGUCUUGUCCAUGUGUAGCUCGCCAUUGCUAAUGACAUGGCCUAAGAAGUGAACCUUUGAUUGUUCAAACUCGUAUUUCUCCCUCUUGAUGUAUAGCUCGUUCUCCCACAAGAUUGGAAAACCUUCCUUAAGUGCUCUAUGUGCUCCUCCAAGGUGUUGUUGUAGAUGACUAUGUCGUCUAGGUAGACUACCACAAACUGAUCAAGGUAGGGAUGUAAAAUCUUGUUCAUAAGGGUGAAAAAUGUGGCCGGUGUAUUGGUUAAGCCAGAGGGCAUCACCAACCAUUCAAAGGCUCAAUAUCUCAUCACACAUGCUGUCUUUGGAUCAUCCCCUUCUGCAAUGCGAACCUGGUAGUAGCCCUUGUGAAGAUCCACCUUGGUAAAGUACUUGGCUUGCCCAAGUCUAUCUAAUAAGUCAGUAAUGAGCAGGAUCGGGUACUUAUUCUUCAUUGUGACCUUUUUAAGUGCUCGGUAGUCUAAGCACAAGCACAUCAAUCCAUCUUUUUUCUUCUGGAACAAUACUAGUGCGCCGAAAGGUGCCUUUGAUGGGAGAAUGUGACCAACAUCUAGCAGCUCUUUCAAUUGUUUCCUGAGCUCCUCUAGCGCGGGCGGUGCCAUACGAUAUGGGGAAAAUACGAGUGGCUUAGCCCCUGGCUCCAACUCAAUCUUUUGAUCCACCUCUCGCCUAGGCGUCAAGUGCUUAGGCAACUCCUCGGGCAUGACAUAUUUGUUUUCUCAAGAAACUUCUCUAUGCAAGGCGACAAUGUCUCUUGAAAACCCUUGUCUUCCUCCAGACUUGCAAUGGCUGCCAUGAAUGUUGGCUCACCCUUCUUGAUCCCCUUGACAACCUGCAUAGCUGAAAGUUGUGCGUGGUGAUGUCACCCAAACUCACACCACUAAUUUAGGUUGUGUGGCGGUCGAUGCAAUAAUAAAAACCCAACGUGAGUCAGGGUCAAUUCCACGGGGAGCUUGCUGUGGGAUUAGGUAUAUACCUAGUGUUAAUGUAUGAUGUGCCUAAGAUUACACUUCCACAUUUUCAAUUGUUGUUUCUACUUCUACUUUUACGCUAAUGCUUGUAAUUGUAAAGCUAAGAGACAAUGUUUUUGGUUUUGGCUGUUUUUCAAGUUAUAAAAGAUCUAGGGUUGCGACUUCUGCCUAGUUGGUUACGUAAUAGAUUUAGAGCUUUAGGGCAUGUUUGGUUGAUCGGGAUACAAUAUAGCAAUCACACACAAUUACUCACUAUAUACUUCUCGGUAGUUUGAGUGAUUUUGCCCAAUUUGGCUUUCUCAAGUCCAAAUAGGUAUCUCGCGAAACAAGUGAUAAAUGCUCAAGUCGGGUCUUACUAUCUCUAGAUUCGAUUCUUUAAUUAGGGCUAUCAAUUUCUUGAGUUCACCCCAAAUUCUUGUUAGCCAAGUUUUUCAAGACUUAGUCUCACUUUCUCAAGAAAAGACUAAGUCAAUUAGGUAUGAAUCAACGUUUGCAACUAUCAAUUCUCAAAUUCAAGCAAGAACUAGGCUAAAUAUCAUAUACCCAAUUAUAAAUAAGCCUAAAUAAAUCACCCAUUAAGUACCCAUACUAGGGUUGGGUCACAACCCUAGCUAAGGGUUUAGCUACUCAUGGAAAAUGAAGAAAUUAAAGAAGAAACUAAGCUAAAAUGCAUAAUAAUUGAUUAAGGAAAGAAAAUCUAAUGUUUAAAUGCUAAAAUAGUACAAAGUUACCCAAUACAGUAAAUAAAAAUGGUUCUAAGUGUUCAGGUGCAACAAACUUGACCUAAAAAUGACAAAAAAGAUCUAUUUAUACCCAAUUGAAAAUAUCUGACAAAAUUGCCCCUGCGAAGGUUGUGCGGCCGCAUAAUUAUGUGUGUGGUUCGCUCUUUGAGAUUGACUGGUCAGGUUGGCUUUCUGCGGUAGCAUAAAAGAGAGAUGCGGCCACACUUCCUCUAAUUGUGCGAACCGCACAUUUCUGAGUACGGCCGCACAUUUCUGAGUGCGACCGCAUAUUUCUGAGUGCGGCCGCACUCUUCCUCUUGGACUGGAUCUGGGCUUCAUUCUGUGGACCGCACAUUUAUGAGUGAGGCCACAUUUUGGCAUCCUAUGGCUGCACAAUAAUAGUGUGGUCCGCACAUCUUUAAGCUCCCAAACUACAAGUCUCUGAAUCUAAUCUUCUCCGGCCGCACAAUAAUUGUGCGGUCCGCACUCUGUGAAGAAAUUCUAUCAGUGCAUCUUCAGAGUUUGCGGCCGCACACAGUAUUGUGCGGUCCGCACUGUAGCAAUUUUUUUCCUUGUUUUGGUUCUUGUCCAAUUUUACUCUUUUUGAGUUGAUUUUCACUUCUUUGGCUCGUUUCCCAAUAUUUCUGCAAGAAAGCACAUUUAAUUAGUUCUCGAGAAUACCUUUAAGCAUUUUGAGCUAAAAUAUAAGUAAAAGAGAGCAAAUAAGCGGUCAAAAUCCCUACUUAUCAUUUCUCCCAAACUUAAGCUUUUACUUGUCCUCAAGCAAUUAAGGCAAUUUCCCACCUCCACUAGAAAAUGGCUAUUUCAGCUGGCCUAAUUUGAAUCAAACACAAAUCAAUUGGGAACAACAAUUACCCACAUGCUCAUGAAUCAUUAACAAGCUUAUGAUUUGAAUGUUAAAGCACAAAUGACUCUAAUGUGACGCUUGAGCAUCAAGGGUUGACAUUGUUCAUCAAGGAAUCUUGCACUUUCAUGUAGGUCACUGUGGAUCCCAAACUCCUCCUCCUAUACUCUCCGGAAGCUCAUCUCACUCACGAAUGAAGAAUUCAAUUCAAUGACUCGAGAAAGAUUCGCUCAUCACUCUCAAAAAAA